This 256-nucleotide ribosomal RNA is filed under the name uncultured bacterium. Its description in RNAcentral is "partial 16S ribosomal RNA". It matches the Rfam family "Bacterial small subunit ribosomal RNA", at positions 524 to 776 of the family's 1533-position model. The record is from RNAcentral.
UACGUAGGGGGCUAGCGUUGUCCGGAUUUAUUGGGCGUAAAGAGCGUGUAGGCGGCCAGGUAGGUCUGCUGUGAAAACUCGAGGCUCAACCUCGAGACGUCGGCGGAAACCAUCUGGCUAGAGUCCGGAAGAGGAGAGUGGAAUUCCUGGUGUAGCGGUGAAAUGCGCAGAUAUCAGGAAGAACACCCGUGGCGAAGGCGGCUCUCUGGGACGGUACUGACGCUGGAGACGCGGAAAGCGUGGGGGAGCGAACAGG